AUCUCCACUUUCAUCAUGGUGUCUUUAUAUCGACACAGAGAAACAGGAAACCUGCCUGUCUCCGUGUUGAUGACCCCUCCCACCCAGGCUGAGGAGGGAUUGGAUGAAGACGAUGAUAAUGUCAUCACUGCUGUCACCACAGAGCAUCUCUUCUGAACUGAUCUGAAAAGCUCAAUUGUUCUCAUAGAUUAGAAACAGUGGAAGCCUCAGAAAGCUUCCCUGUGGAUCUCCACAUGUUCUAGUUUGACCUGUAGAUGGAGGGUGUUAACCAAUUUAGUUUUUAGUCCAAAGAUUUGCGAUGAAAAGAGUUAAACGUCAAGCUACUUGUAAUGCUCCAGCCCGCAGCGUUUUGAAACCUGUUAGUUUACACCAGUGAGAUGAGACGGUGUAUCCUCUACAUUGAGAUGACUCUGGGGUGCUCGUUGAGCCUCCGCUAAAUUUCUGCCAUUUCCAACAGCUGACAGUUUGAAACAUAGAAAUAAAAUAGAUCAUUUCAUUUCUAUAGUUUGCAGCUGAUUUGACUGUUCCCAAACCAGCCUCUGAAAACAUAACCAGCUGAGUCCCAGUGACACCAUCAGCUUGUUUUAGUCGAGCUGAAACGGUUCUUGGGAAGUAAAGGUUUCUUCUCAUUGCAAACUUUUGCUCUGAACUGGACUUUAGAUGAAGAUAGUUGUUCAGGUUCUGCUGUUAGUCGUGUGGUUGUUCAUGUCUUAGAUGUCAAGUUUUUAAUCUCUUCAGAUCAAAUAAAAUAAAAUGAUGAGCAUCUUU
This is a long non-coding RNA of Perca fluviatilis (European perch), 768 nucleotides long. RefSeq lists it as uncharacterized. The record is from RefSeq and is a predicted model, not a curated record. The transcript has 2 exons. Lineage: Eukaryota; Metazoa; Chordata; Actinopteri; Perciformes; Percidae.